AAAGGUGAAAAGAACCCCUGUUAGGGGAGUGAAAUAGAAUCUGAAACUGUCUGCCAACAAGCGGUAGGAGGGCUAUGUUUGAGUUUACUCAAAAAUGCCUGACUGCGUACCUUUUGCAUAAUGGGCCAGGGACUUAUCUUCAUUAGCAAGAUUAAGCCGAUAGGUGUAGUCGUAGCGAAAGCGAGUCUUAAUAGGGCGCUAGUUAAUGGAGUUAGACCCGAAGCGGGACGAUCUAGCCAUGGGCAGGGUGAAGCAUCAGGAAACUGAUGUGGAGGCCCGAACCAUUGAAGGGUGAAAACUUCUUGGAUGACCUGUGGUUAGGAGUGAAAGGCUAAUCAAGUUCCGUGAUAGCUGGUUCUCCCCGAAAUAUAUUUAGGUAUAGCCUCAUGCGUUCUCCUCUGGGGGUAGAGCACUGAUUGGACUAGGGGGUCGAAAGACUUACCAAACCCUAUCAAACUCCGAAUACCAGAGAUAGUAGCAUGGGAGUCAGUCUAUGGGUGCUAAGGUCCAUAGACGAGAGGGAAACAACCCAGAUCGCAAUCUAAGGUCCCCAAAUUUAGACUAAGUGGUUAAGGACGUGAGUUUUCAUAGACAGCCAGGAGGUAGGCUUAGAAGCAGCCAUCCUUUAAAGAUAGAGUAACAUCUCACUGGUCGAUGAGAAUUUGCACCGAAAAUGAAUCGGGGCUAAGUCUAAUACCGAAGAUGCGGAUUGUAUGUUUACAUACAGUGGUAGGGGAGCGUUCUUAAUGGAAUGAAGCAUUACCGUAAGGAGAUGUGGACUAUUAAGAAGUGAGAAUCCUGGCAUGAGUAGCGAUAAAAGUGGUGAGAAUCCACUUCACCGUAAGCGUAAGGGUUCCUGGGCAAGGCUCGUCCUCCCAGGGUUAGUCGGGACCUAAGGCGAGGCCGAAAGGCGUAGUCGAUGGAAAACAGGUUAAUAUUCCUGUACCACCUGUUAGGAGUGAUGGGGUGACGGAGAAGGAUAGAUCAUCCGUGUUUUGGAUUACACGGUUCAAGCUCGUAGGAUUAAGAAAUUGGCAAAUCCGUUUCUUUUAUAGUCUGAGAAGUGAGUACGAGAGGCCCUAGGCCUCAUAAAGUGAUUGAUUCCAUGCUUCCUAGAAAAACCUCUAAAUUUUGAUUAACAGGUGCUCGUACUGUAAACGGACACACGUACGCGGGUAGAGUAUACCAAGGUGUUUGAGAUAAUUAUGGCCAAGGAACUCGGCAAAAUAGCUCCGUAACUUCGGGAUAAGGAGUACCUAUAUUAAGUGAAGGAUCUUGCAUCUGGAGCUGAAAUAGGUGUCACUGAAAUGAUGGAAGCGACUGUUUACCAAAAACACAGGCCUGUGCUAACCCGCAAGGGGAUGUAUACGGGCUGACGCCUGCCCGGUGCUGGACGGUUAAGGGGAUGGGUUAUCCUUCGGGAGAAGCUUAGAACCGAAGCCCCAGUAAACGGCGGCCGUAACUAUAACGGUCCUAAGGUAGCGAAAUUCCUUGUCGUCUAAUUAGCGACCCGCAUGAAUGGCGUAACGACUUCUGUACUGUCUCGGCCAUAAUCUCAGCGAAAUUGUAGUGCUGGUGAAGAUGCCAGCUUCCCGUUGUGGGACGGAAAGACCCCGUGCACCUUUACUAUAACCUAGCACUGGAUUUUGAUGUUAAAUGCGUAGGAUAGGUGGGAGACUAUGAAAGUUCAAUUUUGGUUGGGCUGGAGUCGUUGGUGAAAUACCACCCUUUUGAUGUUAGGAUUCUAACUUUAAUCCGUUAUCCGGAUUGAGGACAAUGUUAGGCGGGUAGUUUGACUGGGGCGGUUGACUCCUAAAGAGUAACGGAGUCGCUCAAAGGUUCUCUCAGCCUGAUUGGAAACCAGGCGUCGAGUGUAAUGGCACAAGAGAGCUUGACUGUGAGAUUGACAAAUCGAGCAGGUACGAAAGUAGGACAUAGUGACCCGGUGGCUUCCAAGUGGGAGGGCCAUCGAUCAUCGGAUAAAAGGUACGCCGGGGAUAACAGAUUAAUCGCGCCCAAGAGUUCACAUCGACGGCGCGGAUUGAUACCUCGAUGUCGGCUCAUCGCAUCCCGGGGCUGUAGAAGGUCCCAAGGGUUGAGCUGUUCGCUCAUUAAAGCGGUACGCGA
This 2127-nucleotide ribosomal RNA is filed under the name marine metagenome. RNAcentral describes it as "bacterial LSU rRNA". It matches the Rfam family "Bacterial large subunit ribosomal RNA", at positions 510 to 2603 of the family's 2925-position model. The record is from RNAcentral.